Molecule: ribosomal RNA, 460 nt
Filed under: uncultured bacterium
Lineage: Bacteria
Description: partial 16S ribosomal RNA
Rfam family: Bacterial small subunit ribosomal RNA
Source: RNAcentral
CCUACGGGAGGCAGCAGUGAGGAAUAUUGGACAAUGGACGAGACUCUGAACCAGCCAAGCAGCGUGAAGGAUGACUGCCCUAUGGGUUGUAAACUUCUUUUAUAAAGGAAUAAAACGAGGCACGUGUGCCUUGUUGCAUGUACUUUAUGAAUAAGCAUCGGCUAAAUCCGUGCCAGCAGCCGCUGUAAUACGGAGGAUCCGAGCGUUAUCCGGAUUUAGUGGGUUUAAAGGGAGCGUAGAUGGGUUGUUAAGUCAGUUGUGAAAGUUUGCGGCUCAACCGUAAAAUUGCAGUCGAUACUGGCUGUCUUGAGUACAGUUGAGGUAGGCGGAAUUCGUGGUGUAGCGGUGAAAUGCUUAGAUAUCACGAAGAACACCGAUUGCGAAGGCAGCUUACUAAACUGUGACUGACAUUGAUGCUCGAAAGUGUGGGUAUCAAACAGGAUUAGAUACCCCGGUAGUC